RNAcentral lists this ribosomal RNA (519 nucleotides) under uncultured eukaryote. RNAcentral's name for it is "SSU rRNA". It matches the Rfam family "Eukaryotic small subunit ribosomal RNA", at positions 1161 to 1703 of the family's 1831-position model. The record is from RNAcentral.
AGGGCACCACCAGGAGUGGAGCCUGCGGCUUAAUUUGACUCAACACGGGAAAUCUCACCAGGCCCGGACACUGGAAGGAUUGACAGAUUGAGAGCUCUUUCUCGAUUCGGUGGGUGGUGGUGCAUGGCCGUUCUUAGUUGGUGGAGUGAUUUGUCUGGUUAAUUCCGAUAACGAACGAGACUCUGUCCUGCUAAAUAGUUCCCGCGUCCUUUGUUGCGCGGGAAAUUCUUCUUAGAGGGACUGGCGGCGUCUAGCCGCACGAGAUUGAGCAAUAACGGGUCUGUGAUGCCCUUAGAUGUUCUGGGCCGCACGCGCGCUACACUGAAGGGAUCAGCGUGUCUUCCCUUCCCGAGAGGGACGGGUAACCCGCUGAACCCCCUUCGUGGUAGGGAUCGGGGCUUGCAAUUAUUCCCCGUGAACCAGGAAUUCCCAGUAAGCGCAAGUCAUAAGCUUGCGUUGAUUACGUCCCUGCCUUUUGUACACACCGCCCGUCGCUACUACCGAUUGAACGUUUUAGUG